This 307-nucleotide ribosomal RNA is filed under the name uncultured bacterium. RNAcentral's name for it is "bacterial SSU rRNA". It matches the Rfam family "Bacterial small subunit ribosomal RNA", at positions 28 to 339 of the family's 1533-position model. The record is from RNAcentral.
GACGAACGCUGGCGGCGUGCAUAACACAUGCAAGUCAAGGGGGUCAGUAGCAAUACUGGCAACCGGCGAACGGGUGCGUAACACGUAAGCGACCUACCUCAAUGUGGGGCAUAGCCGGCCUAACGGCCGGGUAAUUCCGCAUGUGAUCUUGGAGGGGCAUCUCUCCGGGAUGAAACCAGUAAUGGGCAUUGAGAGGGGCUUGCGGCCUAUCAGCUUGUGGUGAGGUAACGGCUCACCAAGGCUACGACGGGUAGCUGGUCUGAGAGGACGACCAGUCACACUGGAACUGAGACACGGUCCAGACACC